RNAcentral lists this ribosomal RNA (229 nucleotides) under uncultured bacterium. Its description in RNAcentral is "partial 16S ribosomal RNA". It matches the Rfam family "Bacterial small subunit ribosomal RNA", at positions 568 to 796 of the family's 1533-position model. The record is from RNAcentral.
UGCGUAGGUGGGAUGGUCAGUCAGUGGUGCAAGCCUAGGGCUCAACUUUAGGAUUGCCAUUGAUACUGCCAUUCUUGAGUUCGGAAGAGGAAAGUGGAAUUCCUGGUGUAGCGGUGAAAUGCGUAGAUAUCAGGAAGAACACCGGUGGCGAAGGCGGCUUUCUGGUCCGAUACUGACACUGAGGCGCGAAAGCGUGGGGAGCGAACAGGAUUAGAUACCCUGGUAGUCC